Non-coding RNA from Apiotrichum porosum, 111 nucleotides. The record is from the annotation of a RefSeq genome assembly. NCBI's taxonomy places the organism in Eukaryota, Fungi, Basidiomycota, Tremellomycetes, Trichosporonales, Trichosporonaceae.
GGCGAGAUGGCCGAGCGGUCUAAGGCGCUGUGUUAAGGUUGUUCCUCUCUCUUCUCGAAGAGCAUGUCAAUCCGCAGUCUUCGGACGUGGGUUCGAAUCCCACUCUCGUCA